CUGCCAGAAUUCAUAUGCUUGUCCCGAAGACUCAAGCCAUGCAUGCCUAGAAGAAAAACUGGUGUCCGUGGUUGAACAGUACUCCUGUCAGCCAUGGCACAGGGGAAUCAGCGAACGGCUCCGUAUAUCUGUUGUUACCCAUCGUUGGCAAACGGGGCGUGGAUAUAGCAUGGAAAAGCUGUGUGUAAAACAAGUGAAUGGGGCACAUCCUCCCUCACUUGGCACAGAGGGUGCGCGCUAAGCGGACUCAUCUUUUCCAUGGCUCCCGCCCUGUCAGCGGCUCCCAUAGUACGCUCAAGCCUCAAAAGACUAGAGUGGAAACGGAGGCCUCAGUCAAGAGUUACCGGAAAUGAACUCCCACCCGAGCCUAGCUCGGUGCCGUUUUGCUCUUACUAAUGACUGAGACUAACCAAUAGUGCACGAUGGGCUUCAGACCUAUCAGCCUGAUGGUAGGGCAUAGGCCUACCAUGGCGGUGACGGGUACAGAGGAUUAGGGUUUGAUCCUGGAGAGGUAGCCUGAGAAAUCGCUCCCACUUCUAAGGAAGGCAGCAGGCGCGUAACGUUCCCAAUGCCAUUAACCCCGGUGAGGACGUGAGGGGACAUAACAAUGCUCACCAAAUAGAAGGGAGUAAUUGCAAUGGCAUUAGCUUAAAAA
RNAcentral lists this ribosomal RNA (655 nucleotides) under Lycogala sp. RNAcentral's name for it is "SSU rRNA". It matches the Rfam family "Eukaryotic small subunit ribosomal RNA", at positions 14 to 531 of the family's 1831-position model. The record is from RNAcentral. Lineage: Eukaryota; Evosea; Eumycetozoa; Liceales; Enteridiidae.